ACAACAGUAUUGGAGGCACACUGAAUAAAGCUUUCAACUACUGACAGCAUCUGAAGAACAUCAGGAAAAUGAUGAAAGCCUAGAAACCCAUGGCCUAUGUGGCUCCAUAGGCAGCUCUGGCCACUACUCAGAGAUCCGGUAAUAUUCAAGGAUUCCAGUGAUAUUCCAGCAUGAAGCUGUGCCUUGGUGUCUUCGGCUGGGACUAGAAUUGAAGAGAUCACUGUUCCUGGGCAUAUGCAAGCAAACUGUUCACAUCACCAGGCAUCACUGGAAGUCUGAACAGCACACUGAAUUUCCAGCUUUAUGGCUU
RNAcentral lists this long non-coding RNA (310 nucleotides) under Phasianus colchicus (ring-necked pheasant). Its description in RNAcentral is "lncRNA (ENSPCLG00000001069.1)". Lineage: Eukaryota; Metazoa; Chordata; Aves; Galliformes; Phasianidae. The record is from RNAcentral.